This is a long non-coding RNA of Macaca mulatta (Rhesus monkey), 738 nucleotides long. RefSeq lists it as uncharacterized. NCBI's taxonomy places the organism in Eukaryota, Metazoa, Chordata, Mammalia, Primates, Cercopithecidae. The record is from RefSeq and is a predicted model, not a curated record.
AUUGGGUCACGUUAGAAAGGGUGUAAGAUUUGUUGUGUCUCUCUUUGCAAUAAAUCUUGCUGAUUGAAAAAGCUGUAACACUCACUGCUAAGGUCUGCAGCUUCACUUGUAAAGCCAGCGAGCCCACGAGCCCACAGGGAAGAAUGAAUAAGUCCAGACGUGCUGUCUUUAAGAGGUGUAACACUAACUACGAAGGUCUGCAACUUCACUUCUGACAGCGAGACCACGAACCUGCCAGAAGGAAGACAUUCCAGACACGUCUGAAUGUCUGAAGGAGCAAUCUCCGGACAUACCAUCUUUAAGAACUAUAACACUGCGAGGGUCCAGGGCUUCAUCUUGAAGUUACACCGAGAACGCACUAAUUCUGGACACAAUUUCCAUGAAAGCCAAGUGCAAAAGAGUGUCUAUAUAGCACGUGUCAUAGCCUAAAUUUUGUCCCUACUGCCAAAAGCCUAAGAGGAAAUUUGAACAGAGAGAUAUCAACAGCAUGUGCACAGAGGAGAGACCGUGUGAGGACAUAGAAGGCAAACAUCUGCAAGUCAAAGAGAGGCCUCAGAAGAAACCACACCUGUCAGUAACUUGACCUUGAGCUUCCAACUGUCAGAAUGUGGGACAAUACAUUUCUGUUGUUUAACAUUUUUGUGUUUAACCAACCCAGUUUGUAGUAUUUUGCUUCGGCAGCUCUAGCAAACAAAUAAAGCGUGUGUCAUUUUAUGUAAUAAAGGAUGUAAUAAAAUA